UGGGGAAUAUUGGACAAUGGGCGCAAGCCUGAUCCAGCCAUGCCGCGUGAGUGAUGAAGGCCCUAGGGUUGUAAAGCUCUUUCACCGGUGAAGAUAAUGACGGUAACCGGAGAAGAAGCCCCGGCUAACUUCGUGCCAGCAGCCGCGGUAAUACGAAGGGGGCUAGCGUUGUUCGGAUUUACUGGGCGUAAAGCGCACGUAGGCGGACUUUUAAGUCAGGGGUGAAAUCCCGGGGCUCAACCCCGGAACUGCCUUUGAUACUGGAAGUCUUGAGUAUGGUAUAGGUGAGUGGAAUUCCGAGUGUAGAGGUGACAUUCGUAGAUAUUCGGAGGCACACCAGUGGCGAAGGCGGCUCACUGGACCAUUACUGACGCUGAGGUGCGAAAGCGUGGGGAGCAAACAGG
This 404-nucleotide ribosomal RNA is filed under the name Actinomycetes bacterium. RNAcentral's name for it is "Actinobacteria bacterium partial 16S ribosomal RNA". It matches the Rfam family "Bacterial small subunit ribosomal RNA", at positions 355 to 776 of the family's 1533-position model. Lineage: Bacteria; Bacillati; Actinomycetota; Actinomycetes. The record is from RNAcentral.